RNAcentral lists this ribosomal RNA (460 nucleotides) under uncultured bacterium. RNAcentral's name for it is "partial 16S ribosomal RNA". It matches the Rfam family "Bacterial small subunit ribosomal RNA", at positions 338 to 795 of the family's 1533-position model. The record is from RNAcentral.
CCUACGGGGGGCAGCAGUGAGGAAUAUUGGUCAAUGGGCGUAAGCCUGAACCAGCCAAGUCGCGUGAGGGAUGAAGGUUCUAUGGAUCGUAAACCUCUUUUAUAAGGGAAUAAAGUGUGGGACGUGUCCUGUUUUGUAUGUACCUUAUGAAUAAGGAACGGCUAACUCCGUGCCAGCAGCCGCGGUAAUACGGAGGAUCCGAGCGUUAUCCGGAUUUAUUGGGUUUAAAGGGUGCGUAGGCGGCCUUUUAAGUCAGCGGUGAAAGUCUGUGGCUCAACCAUAGAAUUGCCGUUGAAACUGGGAGGCUUGAGUAUGUUUGAGGCAGGCGGAAUGCGUGGUGUAGCGGUGAAAUGCGUAGAUAUCACGCAGAACCCCGAUUGCGAAGGCAGCCUGCCAAGCCAUGACUGACGCUGAUGCACGAAAGCGUGGGGAUCAAACAGGAUUAGAUACCCCAGUAGUC